CCCAGUGUGGUGUAGUGGUUUAAACGUUGGACUAUGACUUUGGAGACCAGGGUUCAAGUCCCAGCUCAGCCA
Phrynosoma platyrhinos (Desert horned lizard) is the source of this 72-nucleotide non-coding RNA. The record is from the annotation of a GenBank genome assembly. Lineage: Eukaryota; Metazoa; Chordata; Lepidosauria; Squamata; Phrynosomatidae.